This 250-nucleotide ribosomal RNA is filed under the name uncultured prokaryote. RNAcentral describes it as "partial 16S ribosomal RNA". It matches the Rfam family "Bacterial small subunit ribosomal RNA", at positions 524 to 773 of the family's 1533-position model. The record is from RNAcentral.
UACGUAGGGGGCAAGCGUUGUCCGGAAUGACUGGGCGUAAAGGGCGUGUAGGCGGUCGGGUAAGUUGGGAGUGAGAGCCCUUUUUUCAAGGGAGGGACUGCUCUCAAUACUGCCUGACUUGAGUGCGGAAGAGGUAAGUGGAAUUCCCAGUGUAGCGGUGAAAUGCGUAGAGAUUGGGAGGAACACCAGUGGCGAAGGCGACUUACUGGGCCGUAACUGACGCUGAGGCGCGAAAGCGUGGGGAGCAAAC